AUUGAACGCUGGCGGCGUGCUUAAUACAUGCAAGUCGAACGAACACGCGAGCUUCGGCCUGGUCGCAAGUGGCGGACGGGCGAGUAAUUCAUCCGAACGUGCCCAGUCGAGGGGGCUAGCAUGACGAAGGCAGGCUUGAUCUCGUAUAGGACAUGAGGGUGAACGGGGGGGUUCUUUAGUCCUCGCCCUUUUUGAUCGCACGCUGGCAGAUUACCUAGUUGGUGGGGUAAAGGCCUACCAAGGCGACGAUCUGUAGCUGGUCUGAGUGGACGACCAGCCACACGGGGACUGAGACACGGCCCAGACUCCUACGGGAGGCAGCAGUAGGGAAUUUUGGACAAUGGGCGAAAGCCUGAUCCAGCAAUGCCGCGUGUGUGAUGAAGGCCUUCGGGUUGUAAAGCACUUUUGGCAGGAACGAAAAGGACUGUGCCAAAACCACGAUUCGAUGACGGUACCCGCAGAAUAAGCAACGGCUAACUACGUG
Molecule: ribosomal RNA, 484 nt
Filed under: uncultured bacterium
Lineage: Bacteria
Description: partial 16S ribosomal RNA
Rfam family: Bacterial small subunit ribosomal RNA
Source: RNAcentral